This 215-nucleotide long non-coding RNA is filed under the name Homo sapiens (human). Its description in RNAcentral is "non-protein coding lnc-MTERF1-7:1". Lineage: Eukaryota; Metazoa; Chordata; Mammalia; Primates; Hominidae. The record is from RNAcentral.
CAAAAUGGAGUCUCCUAUGUCUACUUCUUUCUACCAGACACAGUAACAAUCUGAUCUCUCUUUCUUUUCCCCACAUUUCCCCCUUUUCUUUUCGACAAAAGCGCCAUCGUCAUCAUGGCCCGUUCUCGAUGGUCGCUGUCUCUUCGGAGCUGUUGGGUACACCUCCCAGAUGAGAUGGCCGGGCAGAGGCGCUUCUCACUUCCCAGAUGGGGCAG